UACGGGGGGGGCAAGCGUUGUUCGGAAUUACUGGGCGUAAAGGGCUCGUAGGUGGCCAACUAAGUCAGACGUGAAAUCCCCAGGCUCAACUUGGGAACUGCGUCUGAUACUGGACGGCUCGAGACCGGAAGAGGUUGGUGGAAUUGCGAGUGUAGAGGUGAAAUUCGUAGAUAUUCGCAAGAACACCGGUGGCGAAGGCGGCCAACUGGUCCGGAUCUGACGCUGAGGCGCGAAAGCGUGGGGAGCAAACAGG
RNAcentral lists this ribosomal RNA (253 nucleotides) under uncultured bacterium. Its description in RNAcentral is "partial 16S ribosomal RNA". It matches the Rfam family "Bacterial small subunit ribosomal RNA", at positions 524 to 776 of the family's 1533-position model. The record is from RNAcentral.